UGAUAUGCUAAAUGAGAACUCUAGAAAUGCUGUCUUGUUUCUUUGCUGUGUUGUAUCAUAUCUACAUGCCGGCACUUCUGUAGAUAAAUUUACAUCGAAGAGGCUUUCAACACUAAGUAUAAACUUUUCGAAGUCAUGAUUUUUCUCAAGUCUCCUAAAAUGUCAGCUAGAAUGCCCAAAAAGAACAUCAAAUUGUAAGUUUUUUCUUCUGUUUCUUUUAUUAUUUUCGUUAAAUGUUUGUAGUAUUUUAACGAUGGUCUUGUUAUAUCAUUUUUGUGUAAGAGAACAUCUGGCAGGAAUCUCCUUGUCUGGGACCAAAAUUACAGACUGGGGACAUAUGAUUUCAAAAUCUGUGUUUAUUUUGGUUUAAGAGAUGGCUAUUGUUCUUGUGGCAUAUCUGGAACAAUGUUAUCUGUGUGUAAACUUUCAUUGGACAUGAUCAUGAGUUGGCAAGCCAUAAAAAUUUAAAAACUAAUAUUUAAAAGGAAGAAAAAAAAUGACUGGCAAAAUUUUCUGGUUGCAUAUGGUUCAACCAUUUCCUCCGACCAUCCAUGUUAUACUUGAAGAAGUUGAAAUUUUAGGUGGCACAAGAUGCUGAAAGGACUCUAAUGAACAAGAAGAAAUCUGUACUAUAUAUAUUCGGCUUGUAGCCUUGUUGCUUACUACAUCUGUUCAUGUUUAAAUUGUUUCUCCUCGUUGUCUGCAAGCAUAAUCAUCAUUGGUUUAUAUGGUCUGGUUGUACCAAGGACGGCUGGUAUGUCUUCAGAUAUUGGAACUUUUGAUACAGAUUCUGCUAUUUUAUCAUCAGUCCUUCACAUAACCUGCAUUUUGUCGAAUCCGGGGAGAUGGGAAAGUCUGCUAAUGGAAAAGUACUCCACUACAAGGGAACACCAUUUCAUCAUAUUAUACCUUGAUUUAUGAUCCAAGGAGGGGAUAUUGUCUCUAGCAAUGGUAGAGGAAACCAGCCAACAUAUGGUGGCGCCUUUCGUGAUGAGAAUUUCAAGUUGAAGCAUUCACAUGCAGGUUUGCAAUGAUCUUUCGCGCACUCAUUUCUUCUUUCUGGGGCGACAGCAAAUUCCCUCUAUCCUCCAUGUACUUUUGGCUACUGAUGAGUGAAUUUCACUCAUUGAUUUAAUGUCUCUUAAGCUUGAAAUAUUUGGUUGUUUUCGAGAAAUUUAGAACGUUUUGAUGCGGGUAUUAGUGUUGUUUUAUAGGCGAACCAAUUUGGUGAAAUGGUGAGUUUGAAAGGUGGAAAAGAGUCAAAUUUACAUAGAGGUGAAUGGACAAAAAGAAGCAUCGAGAUGCAUGUGAAAGACGAUGGAAGAAAGAAGGAAGAAAACAAACUAAAAAAACUUGCCACAGUGCCUAGGCGCCACAAAGGGAGUAGAAACUCAACGCCUAGGCGCUGCACGCGCUGAAACAAGACAGAAACGCAACGCCUAGGCACCACUUUUGUAGCGCCCAGGCGCUGCAUGCCGAGAAAGGAAAAACGCUAUUUUUCCAAAUAUUUUCGACCUAGCCCAAUUCCAACUCGCAAUGCAAAUUAAGGGGAAUAUAAAUACAUAUUUACAGACCUAAGAAAGGGGGUUGGACGGCUGAAGAAGGGAGGCAAAGAGAUGCACUAAUUGAGAGAAGAAUCACCGGAUUUGGAGAAGGAAUCAAGCUGCAAACUGAGUUUUUCUUAUCUUUCUCUUCUUCAUGCGAUUUAAUUUGUAUUUUAUUGUGUUCUUCUUCUCAAUCAUGAACUAAGUUAUUAAAUUUAGGGUUUGAUGUAACCUAUUUGAGACAUGACUCAAUUUCUUUAUAAUAUUUCCAUUUAAUUUUCC
This 1826-nucleotide long non-coding RNA is filed under the name Olea europaea subsp. europaea. Lineage: Eukaryota; Viridiplantae; Streptophyta; Magnoliopsida; Lamiales; Oleaceae. The record is from RNAcentral.